CCUACGGGUGGCAGCAGUGGGGAAUAUUGCACAAUGGGGGAAACCCUGAUGCAGCGACGCCGCGUGAAGGAAGAAGUAUUUCGGUAUGUAAACUUCUAUCAGCAGGGAAGAAAAUGACGGUACCUAACUAAGAAGCCCCGGCUAACUACGUGCCAGCAGCCGCGGUAAUACGUAGGGGGCAAGCGUUAUCCGGAUUUACUGGGUGUAAAGGGAGCGUAGGCGGUUUAGCAAGUCAGAAGUGAAAGCCCAGGGCUCAACUCCGGGACUGCUUUUGAAACUGUUGAACUAGAGUGCAGGAGAGGGAAGUGGAAUUCCUAGUGUAGCGGUGAAAUGCGUAGAUAUUAGGAGGAACACCAGUGGCGAAGGCGGCUGACUGGACUGUAAAUGACGCUGAGGCUCGAAAGCGUGGGGAGCAAACAGGAUUAGAUACCCUGGUAGUC
Molecule: ribosomal RNA, 440 nt
Filed under: uncultured bacterium
Lineage: Bacteria
Description: partial 16S ribosomal RNA
Rfam family: Bacterial small subunit ribosomal RNA
Source: RNAcentral